Molecule: long non-coding RNA, 613 nt
Organism: Triticum dicoccoides
Lineage: Eukaryota; Viridiplantae; Streptophyta; Magnoliopsida; Poales; Poaceae
Exons: 3
Source: RefSeq, a predicted model, not a curated record
GUCGGGUCCUCGACUUCCGCCGCCACUCGGCCGCCGGUUGGCGCCUCUACCCGCCGCCCCCCUUCGCCGCGACGAACUCCGCCGUCAGAUUCCUCCGCUGCGGCAGCAGCCUCGCUUAGCUGCUUGGCUUGUCCUCGACCACCAAGACGGAGACUAAGAAGAAAUAGAACUAUGCAUACAAGGGCACAUAGAGUGGGAAAAGCGGGCAAAGCCGUAAGAGAAAAAACUGAAAGGCAUGUUCAGGUUUAUCUCAAACAACAAACUAAGCAGUGUGCAGGCUGUUGAAGACUCACAAGGUUGCCGAUCUCCAGUGGGAUGGUUCAUGUAAGCUUGUUGUGGCCUAGAUUGUUUACCUUGAGACCGUACAUGGAGUUGGAGUUGAUGCACACUUUGGAGUUAAGGGAGCUAGAUGAAAUAUCAUGCCAAGUUAAGGGAGUAAACUUGCAAUGUGCCAAAUUCUCAGCCAACAUACUGCGGCCCGCCUAUAUAUAUAUAUGUGUGUGUGAUUAUCCUGGUGCUGUUUCAUCCUUGUCACUGUCACGCUGUGUGAAAGGAUACACAAAUACAUACAUAUACAUACAUUGUCUCUUGUAAGAAAUCCAGUGCUUCUCCA